AGGACGAACGCUAGCGGCAUGCCUAACACAUGCAAGUCGAACGGUAACAGGCCCUUCGGGGUGCUGACGAGUGGCGGACGGGUGAGUAAUGCGUAGGAAUCUACCCACGAGUGGGGAUAGCCCGGAGAAAUCCGGAUUAAUACCGCAUAUGCCCGUAACGGGGUAAAGCGGGGAUACGUAAGACCUCGCGCUGGUGGAUGAGCCUACGUCCGAUUAGUUAGUGGU
Molecule: ribosomal RNA, 225 nt
Filed under: uncultured prokaryote
Description: partial 16S ribosomal RNA
Rfam family: Bacterial small subunit ribosomal RNA
Source: RNAcentral